CUAGCCAAAUUCUCUAUUCCAGCCCUAGUCAAGCUCACCAAAUUCGAAGACUCAAAAAUAUCAGCAUCUGUAGAAGCUCCAUUUGCAUUGCUAUUAAGCUGGGUUUCAUCUUCCUGCUUAAGAUUUCCUUUGUGAAGACCACAUUCCUUAGCCUUCGCAUCCUCCCACCACCACCUUCCUUCCCUCUCAUGUUGCCAUGGCAAAACAGGUCUCGUGCAUGGUUCACACCCAAUUGAAACAUACCCUUGUGAGUGCAAUGUGUUCACAGGCACAUUCAUGGAUCGUAAAAAGUCCCAUAUGUCUUUACUGCCAACAUUAGCAACCGGAUUCCAUUUGACCAAGCUACCAAUGCCACCAUCCAGCCCUUCAAAAACAGGGUCCACCUGCACAACUGGAACUUCAGACCGGGUACCGGGGGAUUGGUCUUUCCUUUGACCAGUGAUCCAUGCUCUUAGUCCCUUCAAGGCCCUUCUCAGAGGCCUCACCUUGCGCACACGGCAGCAUUCCUGGUGCCCAUCCUCGUAAAAAGAAAACAGCCCUUUGCUUCGGACUAAUGCUU
RNAcentral lists this unclassified non-coding RNA (559 nucleotides) under Hevea brasiliensis (rubber tree). The record is from RNAcentral. Lineage: Eukaryota; Viridiplantae; Streptophyta; Magnoliopsida; Malpighiales; Euphorbiaceae.